RNAcentral lists this non-coding RNA (67 nucleotides) under unclassified sequences. RNAcentral describes it as "DUF3800-II RNA". It matches the Rfam family "DUF3800-II RNA". The record is from Rfam by way of RNAcentral.
AUAACAAGUUAGUGAUGACAAAGGCCCGUGUUGGCCGAGUUCGAAAGAACUAUUCACUUAACUGACC